RNAcentral lists this small RNA (545 nucleotides) under Pongo abelii (Sumatran orangutan). RNAcentral's name for it is "processed transcript". The record is from RNAcentral. Lineage: Eukaryota; Metazoa; Chordata; Mammalia; Primates; Hominidae.
AGAUGCAGGCGCGAACUGGAAGGCAGCUGGGGAAGGGCCUGGGCCUGGCGCCCCAAGGACAGCCUGUCCUCAGUUUCCCAGCGGAGACUCUGGGGGAGGGAAGGCAGGAUGCGGUGCGGGAGCUAAUGGACCCGGCCUUGGCGGAGGCGCGUCCUGGGUUGGAUCGAAGCCCUCUCAUCCGCCCUGUGGCCGGAGGGACCAGACCAUUAGUGGGACGAACCUAGACGCCUGGAGCCGGGCCGGCUCGCAAGAACGGGGAUCAGUUCGAGGUGCUCGAGCGCCACACGCAGUGGGGGCUGGACCUGUUGGACAGAUAUGUAAAGUUCGUGAAAGAACGCACCGAAGUGGAACAGGCUUACGCCAAACAACUGCGGAGCCUGGUGAAAAAAUAUCUGCCCAAGAGACCUGCCAAGGAUGAUCCUGAGUCCAAGUUCAGCCAGCAACAGUCCUUCGUACAGAUUCUCCAGGAGGUGAAUGACUUUGCAGGCCAGCGGGAGCUGGUGGCCGAGAACCUCAGUGUCCGUGUAUGUCUUGAGCUGACCAAG